This 621-nucleotide long non-coding RNA is filed under the name Pan troglodytes (chimpanzee). RNAcentral describes it as "long non-coding RNA NONPTRT003453". Lineage: Eukaryota; Metazoa; Chordata; Mammalia; Primates; Hominidae. The record is from RNAcentral.
AGGGAGUGGAGCUGGGAACUACUACCAGCAGGCAGGCCCAGGAUCCCGAGUGUGUCCUGAGAGUCAGUGCCUGGUACUGGAUAGGAACUUCAUGGAAUGGAGCUAAUGGGCCGUAGGGCAGGUUUGAGUCGUGCCACCCUGGAGCAGAAGGUGGAGGGUAGGGAUAAGGGGGUGGAGCACCUGAUUCCAAUCUUGCCGCACGGAAGAAGAGUCUGUGAAGAAGUGCGUGAUGACUGUGUGUCCCCCCCACCCAGAAAUUGGCAUUUGGGAGGGGUGGAUAUGGUUGGGACUGGGGAGCCUUGAUCUUACUGCUCUUGGUUGAGUUGGUGUCCAAUAGACAGUUUCAGAGGUUAGAGCAGUGGGAGUCACUGGGGACUGGGGACGGGAGAGGUGGGGGUGGGGGAAGCCAGGCGGGAAUGAGUAGGGAGGCACUGGGAGGAGGGGAGAGGCAAGAGUUAGGGGAAUACCGAGGAAAGUGGCAGGGAUUGGAGGCUCCUGGAGAAAGGGCAAGGCUGAAGGUUGUCCCAUGUAUUUUGGCCAGAUUUGAUUAUGUAAUCGAGAUACAUGAGAUAAUUGUGUUCGUGUCUCUGGAGCCUUCAACCAGCUCUUUUAACAUCUUGC